CCUACGGAGGGCAGCAGUGGGGAAUAUUGGACAAUGGGCGAAAGCCUGAUCCAGCCAUGCCGCGUGUGUGAAGAAGGCCUUCGGGUUGUAAAGCACUUUCAGUGGGGAAGAAAGCCUUGGGGCUAAUACCCUCGAGGAAGGACAUCACCCACAGAAGAAGCACCGGCUAACUCCGUGCCAGCAGCCGCGGUAAUACGGAGGGUGCGAGCGUUAAUCGGAAUUACUGGGCGUAAAGCGCGCGUAGGCGGGUUGAUAAGCCGGUUGUGAAAGCCCCGGGCUCAACCUGGGGACAGGCAUCCGGACCUGUCAGGCUAGAGUGCGGGAGAGGAAGGUAGAAUUCCCGGUGUAGCGGUGAAAUGCGUAGAGAUCGGGAGGAAUACCGGCGGCGAAGGCGGCCUUCUGGACUGACACUGACGCUGAGGUGCGAAAGCGUGGGUAGCAAACAGGAUUAGAUACCCCAGUAGUC
This 466-nucleotide ribosomal RNA is filed under the name Vreelandella stevensii. RNAcentral describes it as "partial 16S ribosomal RNA". It matches the Rfam family "Bacterial small subunit ribosomal RNA", at positions 338 to 795 of the family's 1533-position model. The record is from RNAcentral. Lineage: Bacteria; Pseudomonadati; Pseudomonadota; Gammaproteobacteria; Oceanospirillales; Halomonadaceae.